UACGAAGGGGGCUAGCGUUGCUCGGAAUCACUGGGCGUAAAGCGCACGUAGGCGGAUCCUUAAGUCGGGGGUGAAAUCCUGGAGCUCAACUCCAGAACUGCCUUCGAUACUGAGGAUCUCGAGUCCGGGAGAGGUGAGUGGAACUGCGAGUGUAGAGGUGAAAUUCGUAGAUAUUCGCAAGAACACCAGUGGCGAAGGCGGCUCACUGGCCCGGUACUGACGCUGAGGUGCGAAAGCGUGGGGAGCAAACAGGAUUAGAAACCGGGUAGUACCCAGACCGAGU
RNAcentral lists this ribosomal RNA (283 nucleotides) under uncultured bacterium. RNAcentral describes it as "partial 16S ribosomal RNA". It matches the Rfam family "Bacterial small subunit ribosomal RNA", at positions 524 to 805 of the family's 1533-position model. The record is from RNAcentral.